This is a non-coding RNA of Triticum urartu, 134 nucleotides long. Lineage: Eukaryota; Viridiplantae; Streptophyta; Magnoliopsida; Poales; Poaceae. The record is from Rfam.
GUAGUACUUGCUCCGUUCGAAAAUACUUGUCAUCAAAAUGAAUAAAAAAGAUGUAUCUAGAUGUAUUUUAGUUCUAGAUACAUCCCUUUUUGUCCAUUUUGAUGACAAGUAUUCUCGGACGGAGGGAGUAGUAG